This 460-nucleotide ribosomal RNA is filed under the name uncultured bacterium. Its description in RNAcentral is "partial 16S ribosomal RNA". It matches the Rfam family "Bacterial small subunit ribosomal RNA", at positions 338 to 795 of the family's 1533-position model. The record is from RNAcentral.
CCUACGGGAGGCAGCAGUGAGGAAUAUUGGUCAAUGGACGAGAGUCUGAACCAGCCAAGUAGCGUGAAGGAUGACUGCCCUAUGGGUUGUAAACUUCUUUUAUAUGGGAAUAAAAUGUUCCACGUGUGGGAUUUUGUAUGUACCAUAUGAAUAAGGAUCGGCUAACUCCGUGCCAGCAGCCGCGGUAAUACGGAGGAUCCGAGCGUUAUCCGGAUUUAUUGGGUUUAAAGGGAGCGUAGGUGGAGUGUUAAGUCAGUUGUGAAAGUUUGCGGCUCAACCGUAAAAUUGCAGUUGAAACUGGCAGUCUUGAGUACAGUAGAGGUGUGCGGAAUUCGUGGUGUAGCGGUGAAAUGCUUAGAUAUCACGAAGAACUCCGAUUGCGAAGGCAGUUCACUGGACUGCAACUGACACUGAGGCUCGAAAGUGUGGGUAUCAAACAGGAUUAGAUACCCCUGUAGUC